CCUACGGGGCGCAGCAGUGGGGAAUAUUGGACAAUGGGGGAAACCCUGAUCCAGCGACGCCGCGUGAGUGAAGAAGUAUUUCGGUACGUAAAGCUCUAUCAGCAGGAAAGAAAAUGACGGUACCUGACUAAGAAGCCCCGGCUAACUACGUGCCAGCAGCCGCGGUAAUACGUAGGGGGCAAGCGUUAUCCGGAUUUACUGGGUGUAAAGGGAGCGUAGACGGCAGCGCAAGUCUGGAGUGAAAUGCCGGGGCCCAACCCCGGAACUGCUCUGGAAACUGGGAAGCUGGAGUGCAGGAGAGGUAAGCGGAAUUCCUGGUGUAGCGGUGAAAUGCGUAGAUAUCAGGAGGAACACCAGUGGCGAAGGCGGCUUGCUGGGUCGAUACUGACAUUGAGGCACGAAAGCGUGGGGAGCAAACAGGAUUAGAUACCCCUGUAGUC
RNAcentral lists this ribosomal RNA (440 nucleotides) under uncultured bacterium. RNAcentral's name for it is "partial 16S ribosomal RNA". It matches the Rfam family "Bacterial small subunit ribosomal RNA", at positions 338 to 795 of the family's 1533-position model. The record is from RNAcentral.